GUCCACAGCCAUGCCACCCUGAACAAGCCCGAUGUCUGAUCUCAGAAGCUAAGCAAGGUCGGCCUGGUUACUACUUGGAUGGAAGAUCAUCCAGGAAGAGCAGGUGCUGUAGGCA
RNAcentral lists this ribosomal RNA (115 nucleotides) under Pteropus alecto (black flying fox). RNAcentral also lists the same sequence under 1 other name. The record is from RNAcentral. Lineage: Eukaryota; Metazoa; Chordata; Mammalia; Chiroptera; Pteropodidae.